RNAcentral lists this non-coding RNA (86 nucleotides) under unclassified sequences. RNAcentral describes it as "c-di-GMP sequence". It matches the Rfam family "c-di-GMP-II-GAG riboswitch aptamer". The record is from Rfam by way of RNAcentral.
GUGGCGGGUAGAGGCUAAGAACCGUGUCCCGCAAGGACGGGCACCGGGGACGCGGGGAGCCAGUGGUGCGACCGGCUACCACAGGU